GGUUCCAUAGUGUAGCGGUUAGCACGUUUGCUUUACAUGCAUGAGGUCCUGGGUUUGCGCCCCAGGGGAGCCA
This 73-nucleotide transfer RNA is filed under the name Pteropus alecto (black flying fox). It matches the Rfam family "tRNA". Rfam says of the family: Transfer RNA (tRNA) molecules are approximately 80 nucleotides in length. Their secondary structure includes four short double-helical elements and three loops (D, anti-codon, and T loops). The record is from Rfam by way of RNAcentral. Lineage: Eukaryota; Metazoa; Chordata; Mammalia; Chiroptera; Pteropodidae. RNAcentral also lists the same sequence under 1 other name.